RNAcentral lists this ribosomal RNA (253 nucleotides) under uncultured bacterium. Its description in RNAcentral is "partial 16S ribosomal RNA". It matches the Rfam family "Bacterial small subunit ribosomal RNA", at positions 524 to 776 of the family's 1533-position model. The record is from RNAcentral.
UACGGAGGGUGCAAACGUUGCUCGGAAUCAUUGGGCGUAAAGCGCACGUAGGUGGCAUGUUAAGUCGGGUGUGAAAUCCCUGGGCUCAACCCAGGAAGUGCACUCGAAACUGGCACGCUUGAGUACUGAAGAGGGUCGCGGAAUUCCCGGUGUAGAGGUGAAAUUCGUAGAUAUCGGGAGGAACACCAGUGGCGAAGGCGGCGACCUGGGCAGAUACUGACACUGAGGUGCGAAAGCGUGGGGAGCAAACAGG